Molecule: ribosomal RNA, 858 nt
Filed under: Dugesia aenigma
Lineage: Eukaryota; Metazoa; Platyhelminthes; Tricladida; Dugesiidae
Description: SSU rRNA
Rfam family: Eukaryotic small subunit ribosomal RNA
Source: RNAcentral
GCAUGUCUAAGUACACAGUUUUGUAAACUGAAACCGCGGAUGGCUCAUUAUAACAGCUAUGAUUUGAGAGAUAUAAUCUAUUUGCCAUAAGAUAACUGUGGUAAUUCUAGAGCUAAUAUUUUAAAGAAUGCCGUGACUCACGAAGCGGUGGAUUUAUUAGAUCAAAACUAACCUGUCGCAAGACAGAAUUUUGAUGACUCUGGAUAACUUAACUGAUCGUACAACUUUUGUUGACGACGAAUCUCUUGAAAUGGCUGACCUAUCAACUUUCGAUGGUAAGAUCAAAGCUUACCAUGGUUGUAACGGGUAACGGGGAAUCAGUGUUCGAUUCCGGAGAGGGAGCCUGAGAAACGGCUACCACAUCCACGGAAGGCAGCAGGCGCGAAAAUUACCCAAUACCGGUUCGGUGAGGUAGUGACAAUAAAUAACAAUAUGGGCCCUAGUGGUUUCAUAAUUGCAAUGAGAAUAUUUUAAAUACUUUAUCAAGUAUCAAUUGGAGGGCAAGUCUGGUGCCAGCAGCCGCGGUAAUUCCAGCUCCAAAAGCGUAUAUUAAAUUUGUUGCAGUUAAAAAGCUCGUAGUUGGAAUUGAGGAACAAUUCUUAAUCGGUCGUAAGAUUGAAUUUUGAAUUUUCCUUCCCGUCGUGUAUAUUGAUUAAUCACUUAAUUGGGAUUUUUUGGUGACCGACAAGUUUACUUUGAAAAAAUUAGAGUGCUUAACGCAGGCUUUUGCUUGUAUAUUGUUGCAUGGAAUAAUGAAAUAAGACUUCGGUUUUAUUUUGUUGGUUUUCGAAACUGAAGUAAUGAUUAAAAGAGACUGCCGGGGGCAUAUGUAUGCUGGUGCUACAGGUGAAAUUCUUA